Molecule: ribosomal RNA, 820 nt
Filed under: uncultured Streptococcaceae bacterium
Lineage: Bacteria; Bacillati; Bacillota; Bacilli; Lactobacillales; Streptococcaceae
Description: SSU rRNA
Rfam family: Bacterial small subunit ribosomal RNA
Source: RNAcentral
CACAGUUUAUACCGUAGCUUGCUACACCAUAGACUGUGAGUUGCCGAACGGGUGAGUAACGCGUAGGUAACCUGCCUGGUAGCGGGGGAUAACUAUUGGAAACGAUAGCUAAUACCGCAUAAUAUUAAUUAUUGCAUGAUAAUUGAUUGAAAGGUGCAAUUGCGCUACUACCAGAUGGACCUGCGUUGUAUUAGCUAGUAGGUGAGGUAACGGCUCACCUAGGCGACGAUACAUAGCCGACCUGAGAGGGUGAUCGGCCACACUGGGACUGAGACACGGCCCAGACUCCUACGGGAGGCAGCAGUAGGGAAUCUUCGGCAAUGGACGAAAGUCUGACCGAGCAACGCCGCGUGAGUGAAGAAGGUUUUCGGAUCGUAAAGCUCUGUUGUAAGAGAAGAACGGGUGUGAGAGUGGAAAGUUCACACUGUGACGGUAUCUUACCAGAAAGGGACGGCUAACUAUGUGCCAGCAGCCGCGGUAAUACGUAGGUCCCGAGCGUUGUCCGGAUUUAUUGGGCGUAAAGCGAGCGCAGGCGGUUAGAUAAGUCUGAAGUUAAAGGCUGUGGCUUAACCAUAGUACGCUUUGGAAACUGUUUAACUUGAGUGCAGAAGGGGAGAGUGGAAUUCCAUGUGUAGCGGUGAAAUGCGUAGAUAUAUGGAGGAACACCGGUGGCGAAAGCGGCUCUCUGGUCUGUAACUGACGCUGAGGCUCGAAAGCGUGGGGAGCGAACAGGAUUAGAUACCCUGGUAGUCCACGCCGUAAACGAUGAGUGCUAGGUGUUAGGCCCCUUCCGGGGCUUAGUGCCGCAGCUAACGCAUUA